RNAcentral lists this ribosomal RNA (492 nucleotides) under uncultured bacterium. RNAcentral's name for it is "partial 16S ribosomal RNA". It matches the Rfam family "Bacterial small subunit ribosomal RNA", at positions 29 to 507 of the family's 1533-position model. The record is from RNAcentral.
AGUGAACGCUGGCGGUAGGCCUAACACAUGCAAGUCGAACGGCAGCACAGUAAGAGCUUGCUCUUACGGGUGGCGAGUGGCGGACGGGUGAGGAAUACAUCGGAAUCUACUUUUUCGUGGGGGAUAACGUAGGGAAACUUACGCUAAUACCGCAUACGACCUACGGGUGAAAGCAGGGGAUCUUCGGACCUUGCGCGAUUGAAUGAGCCGAUGUCGGAUUAGCUAGUUGGCGGGGUAAAGGCCCACCAAGGCGACGAUCCGUAGCUGGUCUGAGAGGAUGAUCAGCCACACUGGAACGGAGACACGGUCCAGACUCCUACGGGAGGCAGCAGUGGGGAAUAUUGGACAAUGGGCGCAAGCCUGAUCCAGCCAUAACGCGUGGGUGAAGAAGGCCUUCGGGUUGUAAAGCCCUUUUGUUGGGAAAGAAAAGCAGCAGGUUAAUACCCCGCUGUUCUGACGGUACCCAAAGAAUAAGCACCGGCUAACUUCGUG